UACGUAGGGGGCGAGCGUUGUCCGGAUUUAUUGGGCGUAAAGAGCGUGUAGGCGGCCAGGUAGGUCCGUUGUGAAAACUCGAGGCUCAACCUCGAGAUGUCGGCGGAAACCGUCUGGCUAGAGUCCGGAAGAGGAGAGUGGAAUUCCUGGUGUAGCGGUGAAAUGCGCAGAUAUCAGGAAGAACACCCGUGGCGAAGGCGGCUCUCUGGGACGGUACUGACGCUGAGACGCGAAAGCGUGGGGAGCGAACAGG
This 253-nucleotide ribosomal RNA is filed under the name uncultured bacterium. RNAcentral's name for it is "partial 16S ribosomal RNA". It matches the Rfam family "Bacterial small subunit ribosomal RNA", at positions 524 to 776 of the family's 1533-position model. The record is from RNAcentral.